ACACAUGCAAGUCGCGCGGCCCGCAAGGGCAGCGGCGAACGGCUGCGUAACACGUUGGUACCUACCCCGCACUCAGGGAUAACCUGCCGAAAGGCGGGCUAAUACCGGAUAGUUCCCGUGAGGGUAAAGCUUCGGCGGUGCGGGAGGGGCCUGCGGCCUAUCAGUUUGUUGGCAGGGUAACGGCCUACCAAGACUAUGACGGGUAGCUGGUCUGAGAGGACGACCAGCCAGAAUGGGACUGCGACACGGCCCAUACUCCUACGGGAGGCAGCAGUGAGGAAUCUUCCGCAAUGGGCGAAAGCCUGACGGAGCGACACCGCGUGAAGGAUGAAGCCCUUUCUGGGUGUAAACUUCUGUUCUGAGGGACGAAAUUUUUGACGGUACCUCAGGAGAAAGCACCGGCUAAUUCUGUGCCAGCAGCCGCGGUAAGACAGAAGGUGCAAGCGUUACUCGGAAUUACUGGGCGUAAAGCGUCCGCAGGCCUUCCUGUAAGUCUGGCGUGAAAUCGUGGAGCUCAACUCCGCGCACGUGCCGGAAACUGCAGGAAUAGAGUCACUCAGAGGCAUCUGGAAUGCUGUGUGUAGGGGUAAAAUCCGUUGAUCCACAGUAGAACGCCAAAAGCGAAGGCAGGGUGCUGGGGGUGUACUGACGCUCAUGGACGAAAGCGUGGGGAGCAAACGGGAUUAGAUACCCCGGUAGUCCACGCCCUAAACGAUGCGUGCUCGGUGUUGGGAAUUACAAUCGUCCCAGUGCCUUAGCUAACGCGGUAAGCACGCCGCCUGGGUAGUACGGCCGCAAGGCUAAAACUCAAAGGAAUAGACGGGGACCCACACAAGCGGUGGAGCAUGGGGUUUAAUUCGAUAAUAAGCGAAGAACCUCACCCAGGUUUGACAUCUUGGAAAUCCCCUGGAAACAGGGGCGUGCCGCAAGGAAUCCAAAGACAGGCGCUGCACGGUCGUCGUCAGCUCGUGCCUUGAGGUGUACUGUUAAGUCAGCCAACGAGCGCAACCCUCGUCCUAUGUUGCUUUUUCAUAGGAGACUGCCGCCUCCAAGGCGGAGGAAGGUGGGGAUGACGUCAGAUCAGCGUGGCCUUUAUGCCUGGGGCAACACCCAUGCUACAAUGGUCGGUACAAAGGGCAGCGAACCCGCGAGGGGGAGCCAAUCCCACAAAACCGGCCUCAGUUCGGAUUGAAGUCUGCAACUCGACUUCAUGAAGCUGGAAUCGCUAGUAACCGUGGAUCAGCUACGCCACGGUGAAUACGUUCCUGGGUCUUGUACUCACCGCCCGUCAACUCAUGAAAGGCAGGGGCGCCUGAAGCACCUUACCCGCAAGGGGGG
Molecule: ribosomal RNA, 1338 nt
Filed under: uncultured Microgenomates group bacterium
Lineage: Bacteria
Description: uncultured Microgenomates bacterium 16S ribosomal RNA
Rfam family: Bacterial small subunit ribosomal RNA
Source: RNAcentral